UACGAAGGGGGCUAGCGUUGCUCGGAAUCACUGGGCGUAAAGCGCACGUAGGCGGGAUUGUUAAGUCAGGGGUGAAAUCCUGGAGCUCAACUCCAGAACUGCCUUUGAUACUGGCGAUCUCGAGUCCGGGAGAGGUGAGUGGGAACUGCGAGUGUAGAGGUGAAAUUCGUAGAUAUUCGCAAGAACACCAGUGGCGAAGGCGGCUCACUGGCCCCGGUACUGACGCUGAGGUGCGAAAGCGUGGGGAGCAAACAGGG
Molecule: ribosomal RNA, 257 nt
Filed under: uncultured bacterium
Lineage: Bacteria
Description: partial 16S ribosomal RNA
Rfam family: Bacterial small subunit ribosomal RNA
Source: RNAcentral